This is a long non-coding RNA of Thalassophryne amazonica, 183 nucleotides long. RefSeq lists it as uncharacterized. The record is from RefSeq and is a predicted model, not a curated record. NCBI's taxonomy places the organism in Eukaryota, Metazoa, Chordata, Actinopteri, Batrachoidiformes, Batrachoididae. The transcript is spliced from 3 exons.
UAAUGUGCUGUUUAAACAUUUAAAGCGCCGUCACUGUCAGUGAUCAUCACACUGACAGAUCACACAACACUUCAUUGAGAUCACACCUGAUCACGGUCGACUGGUGCUUUAAAAGUUUAAAUCAUCACAGCUUUUCCUUAUUCAGGUCUGUGAUGACCUGAUCAGCGCUCCUGAAAAUAUCAG